GGUCGGUGAUGGGUGUUGGCAUGUAUUAGCUGAGCAUAAACCUGAAGACUAUCAGCUUAGCUCUAGAAUUACUCUGAGACCUG
Molecule: small nucleolar RNA, 83 nt
Organism: Grus americana (Whooping crane)
Lineage: Eukaryota; Metazoa; Chordata; Aves; Gruiformes; Gruidae
Product: small nucleolar RNA SNORD45
Exons: 1
Source: RefSeq, a predicted model, not a curated record